GCCAACUGUACUCGGAGAUGUAAGGAGUGAGAUGCUCAUAUCUAGGGAAGAAAUAUUUGGCCCAGUAGCGCCACUUCUGCGUUUUAAGACAGAGGAAGAAGCUAUUCGUAUAGCUAAUGAUACAAAUGCAGGGCUGGCUGCUUAUAUAUUCACUGCAAGCAUUCCCCGUUCUUGGCGUGUAUCUGAAGCCCUUGAAUAUGGGCUUGUCGGUGUGAAUGAAGGAUUAAUAUCCACUGAGGUGGCACCGUUUGGAGGAGUUAAACAGUCAGGUCUUGGACGAGAAGGAUCCAAAU
Molecule: unclassified non-coding RNA, 293 nt
Filed under: Hevea brasiliensis (rubber tree)
Lineage: Eukaryota; Viridiplantae; Streptophyta; Magnoliopsida; Malpighiales; Euphorbiaceae
Source: RNAcentral